This 838-nucleotide unclassified non-coding RNA is filed under the name Hevea brasiliensis (rubber tree). The record is from RNAcentral. Lineage: Eukaryota; Viridiplantae; Streptophyta; Magnoliopsida; Malpighiales; Euphorbiaceae.
GGAUGGUAUAAAGACCAAAUUAUUCUGACGUAAGAGCUUAAGAUACAACAAGAUGAAAAGUAUAAUUGAGAAAUUAGUAUUCCUAUUUAUGACAAAAGGGUUGACUGGUACCGAGCUACCUAAACAUAGUUCAGGGAAAAGUCCUAUAGAGUUAUUUAUUUUAAGCUUUUUUUUUUAGAUAAAAGAUUAGAGUACAAGCUCAUAUAAGUCCAUGGCUUAAACAGGUGGAUCCUAGAUUGAAAGCUCAACCUCCCAACCCAUAACAAAACCAAGCUCAUACAAACAAAUUCUAGAUAGGAUUGGAAAUCUACCAAAAGCAAGGGACUUCUACAGUAAGAAGGCAACUGCGCCACGACAAUGUCACAGAAGGACCAUCACUGGGGAAGCUUUUUUAUCGAGAAAAACACAAAAGAGUCGAGCAAAUUGAGAGCCAAAUCAAAAGAUCCCAAAGAAGAAAAAUAUCUCGAAUCAUAAAGAAUCUAAGCUAGGAUCUCAAGCUUGGCAGAGCUCUAGGCACUCUCAAUCUAUUUUAGCCUUUGAGGUGCCGGAGAACCAACUAUUGGUGCCGAAACGUCCUCGAGAAUACCAGCCUCCGAAGAUAAACCUAACACUUGCAUGAAUCACAUAACCACAACACACACCCACAAACACAAAUGCAUAUCAAAGAAAGAAAACCCUCUCAGUAGCUCAGAUCUGUAGAGAAAACACAAACCAAAAAAGCUUUUUACACCCCACCCAGUGGUGGGAAGGGCGAACCCACGGCCAAGCAAGGAGGAGACCUUCCCUACCGUAGAUUGCAGCAGCGAAAAAGGACUGUGCCCAAGAAAAAAAAAAAAAA